AGCAGCCGCGGUAAUUCCAGCUCCAAUAGCGUAUAUUAAAGUUGUUGCAGUUAAAAAGCUCGUAGUUGAAUUUCGGGAUCAAAGAAUCGGUCAUGCCUUGGUAUGUACUGGUUUUAUUGGUUCUCACCUUCUAAAGAACCAUGAUGUCAUUCAUUUGAUGUUAUGGGGAAUUAGGACUGUUACCUUAGAAAAAAUUAGAGUGUUUAAAGCAAGCUUACGCUUGAAUACAUUAGCAUGGAAUAAUGAAAUAGGACAUCAGAUUCUAUUUUGUUGGUUUCUAGGAUCGAUGUAAUGAUUAAUAGGGAUAGUUGGGGGGCAUUAGUAUUCAAUUGUCAGAGGUGAAAUUCUUGGAUUUAUUGAAGACUAACUACUGCGAAAGCAUUUGCCAAGGAUGUUUUCAUUAAUCAAGACGAAAGUUAGGGGAUCGAAGACGAUCAGAUACCGUCGUAG
This 450-nucleotide ribosomal RNA is filed under the name uncultured Glomeromycotina. RNAcentral describes it as "SSU rRNA". It matches the Rfam family "Eukaryotic small subunit ribosomal RNA", at positions 569 to 1023 of the family's 1831-position model. Lineage: Eukaryota; Fungi; Glomeromycota. The record is from RNAcentral.